This 1368-nucleotide ribosomal RNA is filed under the name Triticum aestivum (bread wheat). Its description in RNAcentral is "partial small subunit ribosomal RNA". The record is from RNAcentral. Lineage: Eukaryota; Viridiplantae; Streptophyta; Magnoliopsida; Poales; Poaceae.
AUGUCGAGCGUAUACGCUUGCAUGUUGUUCUUAUUCUUUGUCGUGCUAAAUCCGGUGAGCCUCGCCGCCGGCGCCACCAACAGCAGCGGUGCGGCUGGAUUCAGCCUGCCCCUCGUGCCCCACUACCGCACUGAAGCCGGCGUACUCGAGGAGCUCCUGCCGGAAGGUGAUGCCGAGGGCGGCGUGAACAUCACGUCCAUACGCCCCAAGAUGAUCCCAUUGACGGGGCCUGUCUACAGCGUCCGCGUCGGCGUCGGCAGCGGCGAAACCCAGCACUUCUACAAGCUCGCGCUGGACCUCGUCCGCCCCCUGACGUGGAUACGGUGCCGACCAUGCAUACUGGAGAAGAAGCAGGAGGGCUCUAUCUUCAACACCGCCGUCUCCCCUCAUUACCACGCCAUUGCGUCCACAGACCGUCGCUGCACGGCCCCAUACAAGCGCGGCAGCCGGGGCCGGUGCAUCUUCGACGUCAAGUACCAGUACCACGGCUCAAGCGCGCAGGGCUUCCUGAGCACCGACAACUUCGCCUUCGACGGUAGCGGCCCCGGGAGCCACAUCAGCGGUGUGGACGGCCUUGUCUUCGGCUGCGCGCACUCCACGCACCAGUUUGACAACCACGGCGUCUGGGCCGGCGUCAUGAGCCUCAACAGGCACCCGACCUCCUUGAUCCGGCAGCUCUCGGACCGCGGCCUCGCCGCCUCGCGCUUCUCCUACUGCCUCGUCGGCAAGGAGCACGAGCACCUCCACCGGCGUGGCUUCCUCCGGUUCGGCGCCGACAUCCCGGACCAACCGCACGCACGGAGCACGGCGCUGCUGCACGGGGAACUCGCCCAAGGAGGGGGCAUGUACUACGUCCACCUCGUCGGCAUCAGCCUGGGCGGGCGAAGGCUCACGGCGAUCACGCCGGCGAUGUUCGAACGCGACCCGCGCACCCUCCGCGGCGGGUGCACCGUCGACGUUGGGACGUCGCACACCUUGCUGGCCCCGGACGCGUACCAUAUCCUGGCGGCCGAGGUCGUGGCGCACCUGCAGAGCCGCGGGGUGCACCGCGCGCCCGGGCCGGUGCAGAAUCUCAAGCUGUGCUUCCGCGGGGCGUGGGACAGUAUCCGCGCGCACUUCCCGAGCGUGACGCUCCACUUCGACCCGGAAUCGGCCGUGCUCUUUAUCAAGCCGGAGCUGCUGUUCCUGGCAGUGACGCAUCAGCAUACCCACUAUGCGUGUUUCACCGUCGUGCCGUACGCUGAGAGGUCAGUGAUCGGCGCGGGGCAGAUGUUGGACACACGCUUCACGUUUGACCUCCAACACAACCGCCUCUUCUUUGCUCCGGAGGAUUGCCAUCUAGACACUAGCGCAGUGGGGAUGACCUAA